Molecule: ribosomal RNA, 535 nt
Filed under: uncultured archaeon
Lineage: Archaea
Description: bacterial SSU rRNA
Rfam family: Archaeal small subunit ribosomal RNA
Source: RNAcentral
CCGCGGGAACACCGGCGGCCCGAGUGGUGAUCGUGAUUAUUGGGUCUAAAGGGUCCGUAGCCGGUUUGGUCAGUCCUCCGGGAAAUCUGAUAGCUCAACUAUUAGGCUUUCGGGGGAUACUGCCAGACUUGGAACCGGGAGAGGUAAGAGGUACUACAGGGGUAGGAGUGAAAUCUUGCAAUCCCUGUGGGACCACCUGUGGCGAAGGCGUCUUACCAGAACGGGUUCGACGGUGAGGGACGAAAGCUGGGGGGCACGAACCGGAUUAGAUACCCGGGUAGUCCCAGCCGUAAACGAUGCUCGCUAGGUGUCAGGCAUGGCGCGACCGUGUCUGGUGCCGCAGGGAAGCCGUGAAGCGAGCCACCUGGGAAGUACGGCCGCAAGGCUGAAACUUAAAGGAAUUGGCGGGGGAGCACAACAACGGGUGGAGCCCUGCGGUUUAAUUGGACUCAACGCCGGACAACUCACCGGGGGCGACAGCAAUAUGUAGGCCAAGCUGAAGACUUUGCCUGAAUCGCUGAGAAGAGGUGCAUGG